RNAcentral lists this long non-coding RNA (2254 nucleotides) under Homo sapiens (human). Its description in RNAcentral is "non-protein coding LINC-PINT:9". Lineage: Eukaryota; Metazoa; Chordata; Mammalia; Primates; Hominidae. The record is from RNAcentral.
UUGGCCCCACUGUGCACCACACACUCCUUUCCCAGCCCAGGGGCACGCGAACAAAAUGAGGCUCAAGCUGACCAGGCCGAGCCGGAGGAACGCUGGGGCUUGGCAGCAGAAGGGAUGGGACCAGAGAGAAGGGUGUGGAGGAGACCCCAGUGAGGGCCAGGACAUUUCAGGUAAAGAGAGGUCAUAUCUCCGUACCUCACUUCCUGACACAAACAAGUUUUCACUGUUGUCAGCAACAAAGCCCUAAUAUAGCUGCGGAAGAGAAAAACUGCAUUGCAUUUUGCCUCCUGCAAGCAUCAUCAACAGUUACUGGAGGAACGUAAUUCCAGAAAGCUUGAAAGCCGUGGUGAUGGUAAUUAUGUAUCAAAUGCCUGGUUCUAUUUCUGUUAUUAUUGUUUUGUCAUUUCUGUUUUCCCAGCGAUCUGACUGAACUCGCAGAGGGACAAAUCCAGUUUUUCUUUUUGACUUUUGUCAAACUAAAUCAGGCCUGAUAGAAAACUCAUUGCUCUCCGGGGAAACAAAGUAGGAGCCACGAAAUGUCAUUUUAACAGAGCGUGGGUUUGGUGACUGUAGGAAAGGAUUUGAGGACGCUCCUUCUGUUCGGCUUCCUAUGUCAUGAGCACAGGCUCCACGCACGCACAGACACCACGGCUCCCGGAUGCUGUGGCUCCCCGAUCGGGGCUCCUGCAGCGCCAGAAGCCCCUCCGGGAUGCUUCGAGGGGCUCCCGGUGGGUGGAGGUACGGACGCCGCUGCGGCCGCCGCCGCCAGUCCUGCUGCUGUUGUUGCUGCUGCAGUCACGUGGGAGCCCCUUUAAGUUUCCAUAGAGAGGCCUCUCUGGUGUCACAUGAUGGACAUGAUAUAAUGAAACAACAUUGUGGAGAGGAAAGCAUUAGGGGAGCCCACGGCUACAAAAACAAGUGAGUGAGAAGAGGUGGGAGGAAGAGAAACUACGCCACCUCCCCUGCAGCCGAGUGCACGCAGCAGCCUGGCGUGACAAGUGGGCGACGCCGGGGGGCAGGGAGCCGGGGUCCUUGGCCCUGGCCGGGGACCCCACCGCCCACCGCGCGGAGGACAACUUUUAGCCGGCAGCCCAGACCAGCGCGGCACCUGUCUCCGGAGUCUCCACCGCUCCUCCCGAUUCAUCCCAGGGAAAUUCUCAAGAAUACGCUCUACAAAUCUACGUGCGCAUCAUUUUCACCUCGCGUCGCGCCCGGGAGGAAGGAACGAGGCAAGGAGCUAAAGCAGCGUGCGUUCAGCCCUGGGGCAUUUUAUUAAUGCUUUUACGAGUUAGAAGAGUUGGGAUAAUUUGCCAUCUGGAGUUUCUCUGCCUUGCUGAUCUGAGCUCAGACCUGCCAAUUUACCAGAGAUAAUUGAUAACACCCUGUAACAGCUGAGAGGAAAAUGGAAGAAACGGAGAUACUUUUAGUGAAGCAGAAUAAACCACUGAACAGGAAGAGGGACUGGAACCAUCUCAGAAGCCAUGCCCCUCAGGCUGGAACUUGCCCUGUCUCCUCGCAGAUGAGCUACCUCUUGUGUUUAAGAAUUAAAGGAAGAUGAGCUAGGAAUCAAGAAAUACGCAGAACUGAUUCCUGUCACUGGCGCCACCCUGCCACUUGCCCAGAGCUGUGGUAUAAAUUUUUUUAAUAGGCUGAAAUAAAAAUAUGAAUAGCAUUUUGGUAUUAAGCAUUAAAUUGAUAAAGGCUAUGAGAUACACCUGCUCUCAACCAUGUUAAUUUUUUAUUAUUGGUAUUAAUAAAUUAUUACUUACUAACAUAUUAACAAGAAUUGCAUUGAGAAACAAAGCAUCCACAGGCCAAAUCUUCUGAAUUUCAAAUGUUUAUAUUAAUGCGUUGUAUUCUAGAAAAGUAGAAUUGUCUUAAGUAGCUUUGUAAUAUAAAGUCAUCUAUCAGCCCAUUACACCUAUUAGAAUGUUUUAACCUUUAUUUCCCACUUUUUUGUUUCUAGACUGAGUGUACUUGGUCUGGUAUUUGUGGCAUAACUUACGGAACACAUAAGAAUGAUACAGAUACUAUUUAAUGAUGACCUAAUACAAGCUUAGAUAGCUAAGGUGAAAGCUUCUAUGGCCUUAACAUUUUCCUCUUGAAGAAUGUAUUUUCUGUAAUAAAAUACAGUGGCUACUUGAAAUCUAUAAACUUAUGUGAGGUCUGGAUAAAUCUGAGCAACUUUCUUCUUUGUGCUCCAGGAACCUACGCACUAUAUAUAUAAAUAAAGCUUAAGUAAACAUCACUGCAA